GACGAACGCUGGCGGCGUGCCUAAUACAUGCAAGUUGAGCGCUGAAGGUUGGUACUUGUACCAACUGGAUGAGCAGCGAACGGGUGAGUAACGCGUGGGGAAUCUGCCUUUGAGCGGGGGACAACAUUUGGAAACGAAUGCUAAUACCGCAUAAAAACUUUAAACACAAGUUUUAAGUUUGAAAGAUGCAAUUGCAUCACUCAAAGAUGAUCCCGCGUUGUAUUAGCUAGUUGGUGAGGUAAAGGCUCACCAAGGCGAUGAUACAUAGCCGACCUGAGAGGGUGGUCGGCCACAUUGGGACUGAGACACGGCCCAAACUCCUACGGGAGGCAGCAGUAGGGAAUCUUCGGCAAUGGACGAAAGUCUGACCGAGCAACGCCGCGUGAGUGAAGAAGGUUUUCGGAUCGUAAAACUCUGUUGGUAGAGAAGAACGUUUGUGAGAGUGGAAAGCUCAUCAAGUGACGGUAACUACCCAGAAAGGGACGGCUAACUACGUG
RNAcentral lists this ribosomal RNA (497 nucleotides) under uncultured bacterium. RNAcentral describes it as "partial 16S ribosomal RNA". It matches the Rfam family "Bacterial small subunit ribosomal RNA", at positions 28 to 507 of the family's 1533-position model. The record is from RNAcentral.